Non-coding RNA from Daedaleopsis nitida, 103 nucleotides. The record is from the annotation of a GenBank genome assembly. Lineage: Eukaryota; Fungi; Basidiomycota; Agaricomycetes; Polyporales; Polyporaceae.
GGGCACUUGGCACAGUGGUAGCGCGCACGCUUCGCAUUUCGGGGGCUCCAACCCCGGUCAUAUGACUUGCGUGAGGUCCAGGGUUCAAUCCCCUGAGUGUCCA